CCUCGCCCCUGUGGUUCUUGUUAAUCUUCUGGAAUCUCUAACACUCUCUCGGUUUCAAGAAGCCUUCAGAACUCAUUCAGUCACUCAGUUGAUCCAGUUAGUGUUUUUUAAGGUCUGCAAGCUCCUGUGCACAGCUAUGUGCCUGAGAGGGGCAGAAGCAUGAAAUACAUCCUUCCACUUCAUGACAGAGAGACCUCGAGCUUCUCUGGGCAUGUGGAGACUGCGCCUGCUGCCUGAGGAUCUUUCAAAAGAGUGAGAAGGUGGUGUUCUCAGGCCAGGAAGAGAGUGCUCACCAGAACUCAGCCAUGCUGGCACCUUGGUCAAGGACUUCCAGCCUUGAGAACUGUGAGAAAAUAAAUUUAUGUUCGUGCAGCCACCCCAUCUUGGUAUUUUGUCAUGGCAGUCUGCACUGACUUGUACCCUGGUCUGGUGGCAAAGCCCCACUGGCAUUCAAACUUCUACUUAGUUUUACUUACCACUUUGACUUAUAUUUUCAUUCAUCCAAAAAGUCACAUGACCAAGAUUGAAAUUAAAGGGUCAGGAAAAUAUAAUCCUCCCUCAGGGCCAGAAACACCUCGGACAGUUCACGCCAUGCACUGGAGUCGGGAGGCGGUUUGUCAGUGCCGGUGCAGACGAAUAGCUGCGCCUGGUUAGCAACCCCAAUGUGGCCACACACCUAAGCUGCCUCCUCUGAUACAGGUUGAUCGGUAAUUAAACUGUUAUUUUUAUCUUAAUUUAUUUCCUCUGAGCUCACAGGAGGACGAGCACUUUAUGUUGAUCUCCUCAAAUCCAGACAUUGUGGUGCAGAGACUGAGCAGAGGACUAGCAGCAAGGAGAGAGCUAGAGGGAAGGAGGAGGAAAUCUCUCCUCCCUGUGUUUCGGCUGAGUAGCCAGCUGUCUCACUGGUGCUUUUUUUUUUUUCCCUAGAGAAUCUCUAUAAGGUGGGUGUUAUUUUCAAUUAACAAGGCAGGAAAUAGAGGCUCAGGGCCUUUAUGUAAUCUGCUGAAGGUGCAAAGGAAUCCCCGCCUGCCUGCAGCUGUCCAAGCCUGCAUUAGCCGGGAGGUUAAUAAGGACCAAGGAGCGGUAAACUGGUGAUCGUAUCCUCCUCUCCUGGGUGCUUGAUGUCAGCAUCUGAGUUAGGUAUCUCAAGGAGAAAAGAGUCCUACACGUUUUACUGCUCUAUUCACUUAUCUAGUCCACAUCCAUCAAUCUAUUUAUUCAUGAAUCCACCCACUUAUUUACCCAAUAAUGAUUCAUUGAGCAUCAGCUGUAUGCUGGACAUGAAAGUAACUUCUUAGAUUAUGACAACAUACGUGGAUCUCUGCUUGCAUGGCCUACCCACUCUCAGGGAAGGCCGAUGUUGACCAGAUAUUUGCAAAUGUGACGAAUCCUGCAAAAGAGUGCAGGUCACAAGAACUAAUUCCAUCUUGUAAAUCAGGGAGAGCUUCUCAGAGGACAAGGUGUUUGAGCUGAAAUCUGACCGGUGAGUCCCAUCUGAGUAGCUGACUUCCCUUCCUGCUCCCCUCAGGCUCCGCAUUCCUCUGAUAAGUCAUACUUAAGGACAAGGAUUGGAAUGUUCUAGUGAAUCUGAAGUCCCUUCUGGCUCUCAGCCACUCUCCACAGGGCUACAAGGAAGCUGUCAAGAGAGGAUUUCACAGGUUGAGUGAGGAGUGACUUCCCCUCCAAAGUGUUCAGUGUGCCUCUCAGGGACACUGGGGUGGGGAUAGUGUGGAGAAGAGAGCAAGUAGCCAAAUUAAAAUAGAAUUUAAUAUUAUUCCAGAGCUUCAAGUUUCCCUUAAAAGAUUCCCUGGGCAUUCCCUCCAUCCUCUCGGCCACCCUGUGCCAGACCAGCUUCUACUGCGGAUCUCCAGCUCCCCAUCGCUUCCUCCCAGCUGCCUGCACUCCUCUUUGGCCCUGUUGGGAACCCCUUCAGGAACGCCUGGCGCCCUGUGCCUGCUUCUGUGGAAGCUCCUCUCCAUGUGGGCAGAACAGUAAUGUCAUCUGGGGAGCUCUGAGGAAAUGAUGGCUCCCAGGUCCCACCUCUAGAGAUUCUGACUCAAAUAGUGUGGGAUGAACCCUGGGGAUGAUUUACUUUAAAAAGCUGCCCAAGAGAGUCUUAGGUGCUUCCAAUGUUUGGAUUAACCAGUCUGCUGAAAUACUUCUCAACUUGUUUUGCAAAAUCCUGCUUAUUUAACAGAAGCUCUCAGAGGGAAGGGGUCACAUGCCUCCACCUCUUGGAUUGAGAGCUGUUGGAACACAGCGGGUGCCUGACUAAUAUCCACUGAAAGUCGGAUGAAUGAUGAGGACUGACAUCUUUCUCUGGUGCCCCCAGUGACGCCACUGUCCAGGGGCACACCUCGUUUGGACUGCAUCUUGAGAAGGAAGGCCAAGAGAGCCUUUUCUGGAAGACUCUCUUCUUCCAGACCCCUAAUCCCUGCAGGCUGAGACCAGUGCCCUGUCCCUGUGGUCUGCCCAUGCUCUGCCUUCAGCUCUGAUGCAGAAUAUGGACUACAGCUAUGUGAGCCUAAUGAUUAUUAAUUCACAGUGAUAUCAAUCUGCAUGGUUAUGUCAUUUUCUCUAUCAAUUCCAAGCAGUCUGUGUGAAGGGCUGACCAAAAGAUGUUUGCCAUGAUUCCAGUUUCUCAGGUGCCAGCUUUAUCUUCGUGCCUUACUGUACAACAAGCACUUGAGUCUUUCCAGCAUGUAAGGUGCAAGUCUGAGCACCAUGCGAAUAAAAACUGCAGCCAAGAGAGAAUCACCUGUCCACUGUGACUCCACACCUACUAAUUCAUUAAAUCUCUGCAACGGCUUGCAAGGGGAGAUCUUGUCUGAGGAAGGACCCAAUAUGGAGAAGACUGAAGUAAGAGAUGGAGAGAAAGUAACCAGGUUCUGUCCCUGAUCAAGCCAUGCCUGAAAGCAGUCUUUGGAAUAUUUAGUUACAUGAGACUGUUGCAUAACUCAUUUUGGAUCAGGAUUUCUAUCAUUUGCAACUGAAAGAGUCUUAACUGAGAUAGUCAUCAACCUUCUGAUUAUUAUAGUGGCUUUUCCUAUAUCUCAAGGAUGUCUUGGAGAAAAACCACCGUGCCUUUAGGGGAACUGAAACGCAGCCGCGUCUGCUCUUAGGAGCACGUAAUGGGUUCCAGCAUGGCUUCCUCAGUGCCUGGCGGAUAACCUAGGAGAAGCUGAAAGGGAUGUCUCCGUCGGGUGCAUGACUAAGAGCCCAGCUCUUCCUGUGAGUCAGCCCAGCCUUCGCGGCUGCGUUAACUACCGCAAGUAAAGAGCUUCACAGGGUUCAGUGAGACAUAACUCAGACACGCUGGAGUCGGCUCGGCAGGUGAGCCCAGCAGGUGUAGCAGAUGUGUUCUCCGGAUCCAUGCUCUUCUCUGAGGCAGACGUAGCUGUCCCAUUUGUUAUUUUAAAUGAAAAGCCAUUUAGAAAAGAAAAUGUCUUAUUUACAUGCCUAGAUUAUGUGUCUUCACCUCUUAUUUACGCAUUCCUGUAGUCAGCCUCCAAAACAUGACUCCAUAACCCUUAGUUUAUGUAGGAAAGAUAAACAAACAAAUUCCCUGGAUGUGUUCUGUAAUAUUCUUUCAGAGAUUAUUUACUAAGCAACUUACAUGUGCCAGAUCUCUGAAAGGGACUGUGAUUUGAAAAUAAGAAAUAUAACUGCUAAUCUCAAAGAGCUCAGAGUCUGGUGUGUUUGUGUAUGGGUAUGUAAAACAGAAACAAACAAAUAAAAA
This is a long non-coding RNA of Manis javanica (Malayan pangolin), 3739 nucleotides long. RefSeq lists it as uncharacterized. The record is from RefSeq and is a predicted model, not a curated record. Lineage: Eukaryota; Metazoa; Chordata; Mammalia; Pholidota; Manidae.